AACAGUGAUCUCAAACAUAGCAAUUAUUGUGAGGAUUGCAUAAGACUGGGUAGUGUUUCGUUCUGUUGUACAUAGGGUCACUUUGAGUCAGAACCUCAACGACACCUAACAACCACAACAAACCCUGCAAACGAAAUAAUUGGGAAACGUUACUCUUAAUUAGUUUUCAAUUUCUAAUCUCUACAAUAGCAUUAUGCAAGAAAAAUUGGAUUAAAGCAUAUACAAAUAUGUAAUGAAGUAUAAAUAUAAUUACUAUUGAUAAGGUCCACUACGCUGAAUUUACAUGAAUUUAAUUCCAGCAGACAGAAUUAAUACAGGUACCGCUUUAGAACUGGUAAAACAAUUUUUCCAACUCCCAUUCAACCUCCUAUCAAUGUCUACCAGUUCAUGUAAAACAAGUCUUUUUUAGAAAGAGCAGUUGUCUUUUUUUUUAACAAAAACAUAGUAUUGAAUUUCAAUGUCUCUUUAAAAAACAGUAAAAUAAGAUGUUAAUUGUGUAUCAAAGCUGUACUAUAUAAUCAAUAUGUAUAUUAUCUAUUUAACAUAAAUAUCUCUACCCUAUACAUCACAAAAGAAUCUUCCAUCCCCCUUUGAGUCUACGUGAUAUUUUGAAAAGGGCUUUGGAGCCAGACAAACAUGGUUUUAAGUGCUGGCUCCCAGUACUUGCUAACUAUGUGAUACUGGCCUUAGUUUCCUCAUCUGUGAUAUGGGCUAAUAAGUAGUACUUAGUCCACAGAAAAGUUAUGAGUGUUAAAUAAGAAAAUGUUUACAGUGCAGUGGCCCGCAGACUUGAGCAUGCCUCAGAAUCACCUGGAAGACUUGAUAAAACAGACCACUGGGUGUCACCCCCAGGGUUUCCGAUUCAGCAGGUCUGGGUGGAGCAGGCCCGAGACUGUCUUUCUAACAAGUUCCCUUUGAUGCUGAUGCUUUGGGUCAGACCACCUUUUACAGACACUGGCAUGUUGUAGAUUUGUAACCAGUGUUGGUUCUGUUCAUUUCUAUCUAGAGACUCUUCCUUGACUGAGAAAAAAAAGAAGCUACCAGUGAAAAAGAAAGAUGUCUACACCAUGGCUCCCGAACUGUAUAAAGCUAGAUAUAGCUAUACCCAAUGAAAAAUAGGAGGAAAUAAAGAAAAAUGUAAGUCAUUUAACAUGUUGAAAUAGAUACUUAUUCUUUAUCAUUUUGGUUUGUUAUUUGUGUGAUAAUUUUUUUAAACUAUUGAACACCCUCACUUAGUCCUCACAAUAACACUGUCUUAGUUAUCUAGUGCUGCUAUAACAGAAAUACCACAAAUGGGUGACUUUAACAAACAGAAAUUUAUUUCUUACAGUUUAGGAGGCUAGAAGUCCAAAUUCAGGGUGCUGGCUCUAGGGGAAGGCUUUCUUUCUCCGUCGGCUCUGGAGGAAGGUCACUGUCACUUUGAACUUCUGCUCCUGGGCUAUCUUAAUGUUGCUUGGCAUCUGUUUCCCCAUCUCUGCUUCUUUUUCUUGUUUAAUGUCUUCUAUAUCUCGCUACAGAUUGAUUUAAGGCGCACCCUACACUCAUCCUGUCUCCUUAACAUAACAAAGAAAACCUAUUCCCAAAUGGGAUUAUAACCACAGGCAUAGAAGUUAGUAUUUACAACACAUAUUUUAGGGGAACACAGUCCAACCCUUAGCAAACACCUUGAAGUAUAUAUUUUUCCAUUAGAAGAGCAUUUCCUUAAACACGUGAGGAACAUGAAUAGUGUCUUCAGUGCUCAAUUUGUUUUUUUAAAGUUAUUGUAAAAUUUGCCAUAGUAACCAUUUUUUUAAGUCUAAUAUUUUAUUGUGUUUUCAGUGGAGGUUUACACAGCUUCUUAGGUUCUCAUUCAACAAUUUCUACACCAAUUGUUCAGUGACACUGGUUUACAUUCUUCAUAGUGUGUGAACAUUCUUAGUAUUCUGUUCUGGUGGUUUCAUUUUCAUUCAUCUAGUUUCUCUG
Molecule: long non-coding RNA, 1962 nt
Organism: Trichechus manatus latirostris (Florida manatee)
Lineage: Eukaryota; Metazoa; Chordata; Mammalia; Sirenia; Trichechidae
Exons: 2
Source: RefSeq, a predicted model, not a curated record